This 554-nucleotide ribosomal RNA is filed under the name Aquarius elongatus. Its description in RNAcentral is "SSU rRNA". It matches the Rfam family "Eukaryotic small subunit ribosomal RNA", at positions 620 to 1119 of the family's 1831-position model. The record is from RNAcentral. RNAcentral also lists the same sequence under 1 other name. Lineage: Eukaryota; Metazoa; Arthropoda; Insecta; Hemiptera; Gerridae.
UAAAAAGCUCGUAGUUGGUUCUGUGUGCCACGCUGUCGGUUCACCGCCUGCCGGUGCAACUGACAUGUCGUGGGAUGUCUUGCCGGAGGGGGCCGAAACCCUUCAGCGGUCUCCGUUGUUGGGCUCAGGUCCUCGCAAUGCUGCCACGGUGCUCUUCACCGAGUGUCGGGGCAGGCCGACAAGAUUACUUUGAACAAAUUAGAGUGCUUAAAGCAGGCUUAAUGUCGCCUGAAUAGUAGUGCAUGGAAUAAUGGAACAUGACUUUGUUUCUGUUUUGUUGGCUUUCGGAAUUCAAGGUAAUGAUCAAUGUGGACAGGCGGGGGCAUUCGUAUUGCGACGUUAGAGGUGAAAUUCUUGGAUCGUCGCAAGACGAACUAGAGCGAAAGCAUUUGCCAAGUAUGUCUUAGUUGAUCAAGAACGAAAGUUAGAGGUUCGAAGGCGAUCAGAUACCGCCCUAGUUCUAACCAUAAACGAUGUCAGCCAGCAAUCCGCCGAUGUUCCUCCGAUGACUCGGCGGGCAACCCCCGGGAAACCAAAGCUUUUGGGUUCCGGGG